RNAcentral lists this ribosomal RNA (267 nucleotides) under uncultured bacterium. Its description in RNAcentral is "partial 16S ribosomal RNA". It matches the Rfam family "Bacterial small subunit ribosomal RNA", at positions 793 to 1055 of the family's 1533-position model. The record is from RNAcentral.
GUCCUAGCUGUAAACGAUGGCAACUAGACGCGGGAGGUAUCAACCCCUUCCGUGCCGACGCUAACGCAUUAAGUUGCCCGCCUGGGGAGUACGGCCGCAAGGUUAAAACUCAAAGGAAUUGACGGGGGCCCGCACAAGCGGUGGAGCAUGUGGUUUAAUUCGACGCUACGCGAAAAACCUUACCUGGGCUCGAACGACUGGUUUUAGUCCGAUGGAAACAUUGGAUGAACCGCAAGGUAGCCAGCCGAGGUGCUGCAUGGUUGUCGU